RNAcentral lists this ribosomal RNA (1284 nucleotides) under metagenome. Its description in RNAcentral is "bacterial LSU rRNA". It matches the Rfam family "Bacterial large subunit ribosomal RNA", at positions 1664 to 2925 of the family's 2925-position model. The record is from RNAcentral.
UGGUCAGGUAGAGAAUACCAAGGCGAUCGGGUGAACUGUGGUUAAGGAACUCGGCAAAUUGCCCCUGUAACUUCGGGAGAAGGGGGACCUCUGCUGGUGAUGGGCUUUACGUUCUGAGCUGGUGGGGGUCGCAGUGGCCAGGGGGAAGCGACUGUUUACUAAAAACACAGGUCCGUGCGAAGUCGUAAGACGAUGUAUACGGACUGACGCCUGCCCGGUGCCGGAACGUUAAGGGGACCGCUUAGCCAGCUUCGGUUGGCGAAGGUGAGAACUUAAGCGCCGGUAAACGGCGGUGGUAACUAUAACCAUCCUAAGGUAUCGAAAUUCCUUGUCGGGUAAGUUCCGACCUGCACGAAUGGCGUAACGACUUCCCCGCUGUCUCAACCACAGACCCGGCGAAAUUGCACUACGAGUAAAGAUGCUCGUUUCGCGCAGCAGGACGGAAAGACCCCGGGACCUUCACUACAGCUUGACAUUGGCGUUUGGAACGUCUUGUGUAGGAUAGGUGGGAGACUAGGAAGCUGUCACGCUAGUGAUGGUGGAGUCAUUGGUGAAAUACCACUCUGGUCGUUUUGAACGUCUAACUCUGGUCCGUGAUCCGGAUCGGGGACAGUGUCUGGUGGGUAGUUUAACUGGGGCGGUUGCCUCCUAAAGAGUAACGGAGGCGCCCAAAGGUUCCCUCAGCCUGGUUGGCAAUCAGGUGUUGAGUGUAAGUGCACAAGGGAGCUUGACUGUGAGACUGACAGGUCGAGCAGGAGCGAAAGCUGGGACUAGUGAUCCGGCAUCGGCGUGUGGAAGCGGUGUCGCUCAACGGCUAAAAGGUACCCCGGGGAUAACAGGCUGAUCUUCCCCAAGAGUCCAUAUCGACGGGAUGGUUUGGCACCUCGAUGUCGGCUCGUCGCAUCCUGGGGCUGGAGUAGGUCCCAAGGGUUGGGCUGUUCGCCCAUUAAAGCGGUACGCGAGCUGGGUUUAGAACGUCGCGAGACAGUUCGGUCCCUAUCCGCUGCGCGCGCAGGAGACUUGAAGGGGGCUGUCCCUAGUACGAGAGGACCGGGACGGACGAACCUCUGGUGUGCCAGUUGUACCGCCAGGUGCACGGCUGGUUGGCUACGUUCGGAAGUGAUAACCGCUGAAAGCAUCUAAGCGGGAAGCUCGCCUUGAGAUGAGGUCUCCCACCCCGUGAGGGGGUAAGGCUCCCGGUAGAUCACCGGGUUGAUAGGCCGGAGGUGGAAGCACGGUAACGUGUGGAGCUGACCGGUACUAAUAGGCCGAGGACUUGACCAG